GAUGAACGCUGGCGGCGUGCCUAAUGCAUGCAAGUCGAGCGAACAGACGAGGAGCUUGCUCCUCUGACGUUAGCGGCGGACGGGUGAGUAACACGUGGAUAACCUACCUAUAAGACUGGGAUAACUUCGGGAAACCGGAGCUAAUACCGGAUAAUAUAUUGAACCGCAUGGUUCAAUAGUGAAAGACGGUUUUGCUGUCACUUAUAGAUGGAUCCGCGCCGCAUUAGCUAGUUGGUAAGGUAACGGCUUACCAAGGCGACGAUGCGUAGCCGACCUGAGAGGGUGAUCGGCCACACUGGAACUGAGACACGGUCCAGACUCCUACGGGAGGCAGCAGUAGGGAAUCUUCCGCAAUGGGCGAAAGCCUGACGGAGCAACGCCGCGUGAGUGAUGAAGGUCUUCGGAUCGUAAAACUCUGUUAUUAGGGAAGAACAAAUGUGUAAGUAACUAUGCACGUCUUGACGGUACCUAAUCAGAAAGCCACGGCUAACUACGUG
This 497-nucleotide ribosomal RNA is filed under the name uncultured bacterium. RNAcentral's name for it is "partial 16S ribosomal RNA". It matches the Rfam family "Bacterial small subunit ribosomal RNA", at positions 28 to 507 of the family's 1533-position model. The record is from RNAcentral.